This 3008-nucleotide ribosomal RNA is filed under the name Listeria monocytogenes. RNAcentral describes it as "bacterial LSU rRNA". It matches the Rfam family "Bacterial large subunit ribosomal RNA". Lineage: Bacteria; Bacillati; Bacillota; Bacilli; Caryophanales; Listeriaceae. The record is from RNAcentral.
UUGGUUAAGUUAGAAAGGGCGCACGGUGGAUGCCUUGGCACUAGGAGCCGAAGAAGGACGGGACUAACACCGAUAUGCUUUGGGGAGCUGUACGUAAGCGUUGAUCCAGAGAUUUCCGAAUGGGGAAACCCACUAUCUUUAGUCGGAUAGUAUCCUUACGUGAAUACAUAGCGUGAGGAAGGCAGACCCAGGGAACUGAAACAUCUAAGUACCUGGAGGAAGAGAAAGAAAAAUCGAUUUCCUGAGUAGCGGCGAGCGAAACGGAAAGAGCCCAAACCAAGAAGCUUGCUUCUUGGGGUUGUAGGACACUCUAUACGGAGUUACAAAAGAAAGUUAUAAAUGAAGCGGUCUGGAAAGGCCCGCCAAAGACGGUAACAGCCCGGUAGUUGAAAUGGCUUUCCCUCCAGAGUGGAUCCUGAGUACGGCGGAACACGUGAAAUUCCGUCGGAAUCCGGGAGGACCAUCUCCCAAGGCUAAAUACUCCCUAGUGACCGAUAGUGAACCAGUACCGUGAGGGAAAGGUGAAAAGCACCCCGGAAGGGGAGUGAAACAGUUCCUGAAACCGUGUGCCUACAAGUAGUUAGAGCCCGUUAAUGGGUGAUAGCGUGCCUUUUGUAGAAUGAACCGGCGAGUUACGAUUUGUUGCAAGGUUAAGCGGAAAAAGCGGAGCCGUAGCGAAAGCGAGUCUGAAUAGGGCGCAUAAGUAACAGGUCGUAGACCCGAAACCAGGUGAUCUACCCAUGUCCAGGAUGAAGGUAAGGUAAUACUUACUGGAGGUCCGAACCCACGCACGUUGAAAAGUGCGGGGAUGAGGUGUGGGUAGCGGAGAAAUUCCAAUCGAACUUGGAGAUAGCUGGUUCUCUCCGAAAUAGCUUUAGGGCUAGCCUCGAGGUAAAGAGUCAUGGAGGUAGAGCACUGUUUGGACUAGGGGCCCUUCUCGGGUUACCGAAUUCAGAUAAACUCCGAAUGCCAUGUACUUAUACUCGGGAGUCAGACUGCGAGUGAUAAGAUCCGUAGUCGAAAGGGAAACAGCCCAGACCACCAGUUAAGGUCCCCAAAUAUAUGUUAAGUGGAAAAGGAUGUGGGGUUGCUUAGACAACCAGGAUGUUGGCUUAGAAGCAGCCACCAUUGAAAGAGUGCGUAAUAGCUCACUGGUCGAGUGACCCCGCGCCGAAAAUGUACCGGGGCUAAACAUAUUACCGAAACUGUGGAUGAACCUCUUUAGAGGUUCGUGGUAGGAGAGCGUUCUAAGGGCGGUGAAGUCAGACCGGAAGGACUGGUGGAGCGCUUAGAAGUGAGAAUGCCGGUAUGAGUAGCGAAAGAAGGGUGAGAAUCCCUUCCACCGAAUAUCUAAGGUUUCCUGAGGAAGGCUCGUCCGCUCAGGGUUAGUCGGGACCUAAGCCGAGGCCGAUAGGCGUAGGCGAUGGACAACAGGUAGAGAUUCCUGUACCAGUGCUAAUUGUUUAACCGAUGGGGUGACACAGAAGGAUAGGGAAUCGCACGAAUGGAAAUGUGCGUCCAAGCAGUGAGUGUGAGAAGUAGGCAAAUCCGCUUCUCGCGAAGCAUGAGCUGUGAUGGGGAAGGAAAUUAAGUACGGAAGUUCCUGAUUUCACGCUGUCAAGAAAAGCCUCUAGGAAGAGUAGUACUGCCCGUACCGCAAACCGACACAGGUAGAUGAGGAGAGAAUCCUAAGGUGAGCGAGAGAACUCUCGUUAAGGAACUCGGCAAAAUGACCCCGUAACUUCGGGAGAAGGGGUGCUCUAUUAGGGUGCAAGCCCGAGAGAGCCGCAGUGAAUAGGCCCAGGCGACUGUUUAGCAAAAACACAGGUCUCUGCAAAACCGUAAGGUGACGUAUAGGGGCUGACGCCUGCCCGGUGCUGGAAGGUUAAGAGGAGUGCUUAGCUUCGGCGAAGGUACGAAUUGAAGCCCCAGUAAACGGCGGCCGUAACUAUAACGGUCCUAAGGUAGCGAAAUUCCUUGUCGGGUAAGUUCCGACCCGCACGAAAGGCGCAACGAUCUGGGCACUGUCUCAACGAGAGACUCGGUGAAAUUAUAGUACCUGUGAAGAUGCAGGUUACCCGCGACAGGACGGAAAGACCCCGUGGAGCUUUACUGCAACCUGAUAUGGAAUGUUUGUACCGCUUGUACAGGAUAGGUAGGAGCCGAAGAGACGUGUGCGCUAGCAUACGAGGAGGCAAUGGUGGGAUACUACCCUGGCUGUAUGACCAUUCUAACCCGCCACGCUUAGCGCGUGGGGAGACAGUGUCAGGUGGGCAGUUUGACUGGGGCGGUCGCCUCCUAAAGAGUAACGGAGGCGCCCAAAGGUUCCCUCAGAAUGGAUGGAAAUCAUUCGCAGAGUGUAAAGGCACAAGGGAGCUUGANGGAGGCGCCCAAAGGUUCCCUCAGAAUGGAUGGAAAUCAUUCGCAGAGUGUAAAGGCACAAGGGAGCUUGACUGCGAGACUGACAAGUCGAGCAGGGACGAAAGUCGGGCUUAGUGAUCCGGUGGUUCCGCAUGGAAGGGCCAUCGCUCAACGGAUAAAAGCUACCCCGGGGAUAACAGGCUUAUCUCCCCCAAGAGUCCACAUCGACGGGGAGGUUUGGCACCUCGAUGUCGGCUCGUCGCAUCCUGGGGCUGUAGUCGGUCCCAAGGGUUGGGCUGUUCGCCCAUUAAAGCGGCACGCGAGCUGGGUUCAGAACGUCGUGAGACAGUUCGGUCCCUAUCCGUCGCGGGCGCAGGAAAUUUGAGAGGAGCUGUCCUUAGUACGAGAGGACCGGGAUGGACACACCGCUGGUGUACCAGUUGUUCCGCCAGGAGCAUCGCUGGGUAGCUAUGUGUGGCAGGGAUAAACGCUGAAAGCAUCUAAGCGUGAAGCCCCCCUCAAGAUGAGAUUUCCCAUUUCUUCGGAAAGUAAGAUCCCUGAAAGAUGAUCAGGUAGAUAGGUUUGGAGUGGAAGUGUAGCGAUACAUGGAGCGGACAAAUACUAAUCGAUCGAGGACUUAACCAAAA